Molecule: ribosomal RNA, 492 nt
Filed under: uncultured bacterium
Lineage: Bacteria
Description: partial 16S ribosomal RNA
Rfam family: Bacterial small subunit ribosomal RNA
Source: RNAcentral
AGUGAACGCUGGCGGUAGGCCUAACACAUGCAAGUCGAACGGCAGCACAGUAAGAGCUUGCUCUUACGGGUGGCGAGUGGCGGACGGGUGAGGAAUAAAUCGGAAUCUACUUUUUCGUGGGGGAUAACGUAGGGAAACUUACGCUAAUACCGCAUACGACCUACGGGUGAAAGCAGGGGAUCUUCGGACCUUGCGCGAUUGAAUGAGCCGAUGUCGGAUUAGCUAGUUGGCGGGGUAAAGGCCCACCAAGGCGACGAUCCGUAGCUGGUCUGAGAGGAUGAUCAGCCACACUGGAACUGAGACACGGUCCAGACUCCUACGGGAGGCAGCAGUGGGGAAUAUUGGACAAUGGGCGCAAGCCUGAUCCAGCCAUACCGCGUGGGUGAAGAAGGCCUUCGGGUUUUAAAGCCCUUUUGUUGGGAAAGAAAAGCAGCAGGUUAAUACCCCGCUGUUCUGACGGUACCCAAAGAAUAAGCACCGGCUAACUUCGUG